GAGGAGGGAGGGAUCAUUACACAAAUAUGAAGGCGGGCUGGAACCUCUCGGGGUUACAGCCUUGCUGAAUUAUUCACCCUUGUCUUUUGCGUACUUCUUGUUUCCUUGGUGGGUUCGCCCACCACUAGGACAAACAUAAACCUUUUGUAAUUGCAAUCAGCGUCAGUAACAAAUUAAUAAUUACAACUUUCAACAACGGAUCUCUUGGUUCUGGCAUCGAUGAAGAACGCAGCGAAAUGCGAUAAGUAGUGUGAAUUGCAGAAUUCAGUGAAUCAUCGAAUCUUUGAACGCACAUUGCGCCCUUUGGUAUUCCAAAGGGCAUGCCUGUUCGAGCGUCAUUUGUACCCUCAAGCUUUGCUUGGUGUUGGGCGUCUUGUCUCUAGCUUUGCUGGAGACUCGCCUUAAAGUAAUUGGCAGCCGGCCUACUGGUUUCGGAGCGCAGCACAAGUCGCACUCUCUAUCAGCAAAGGUCUAGCAUCCAUUAAGCCUUUUUUUCAACUUUUGACCUCGGAUCAGGUAGGGAUACCCGCUGAACUUAAGCAUAUCAAACCGAGGAA
This 557-nucleotide ribosomal RNA is filed under the name Alternaria sp. 10 NK-2011. Its description in RNAcentral is "eukaryotic LSU rRNA". The stretch from base 185 to 338 matches the Rfam family "5.8S ribosomal RNA". The record is from RNAcentral. Lineage: Eukaryota; Fungi; Ascomycota; Dothideomycetes; Pleosporales; Pleosporaceae.